AAAGCCCAAGAAAUGAGAACCCCUUCUUGAGAACCUCAGUGAGUCCAUAGUCUGGAAUUUCAUCCUUACUUAGCGUCACUUCCAGCUAGUUAUAGUGGGGCAGGGCUUUAGUUAGGCUACCCAUUUUCAUUGGUACUAAACCAGACGGUACGGGGGGUCCCGCCAUACAUCCAUGCAGGAUUACCAUUCUGUAAAUGCAUAUAUGCGUGGUGGCCGCUGCCGGCAACUAGUGCCGUUCACUAUUCCAUGCAAAAUCCCUGAACCUGCCUGAUAUGAUAGGUUUGUAUGUGUGGUAAGAUCCAACAUACAACAACGUUUGUUAGCGUCUAUGCUUACCCUAUUUAUCUUGUCUGAUUUUGUUACACUUGCGGUUCGAGUACUACUCCUUUCGGGAGUAUUCGAUAGACAUACUCUUAAAAUGUUAGGAGUCAGAACUCUUUCCAGUGCAUAUUUUGGGCUGAAAUUUCUUUUAUUUUUAACUACAUGGUUUGCAAAAGUUAGCAUUCUACAUUGAAAUUGAUUGGUGGGCUUUUAGGAAAAAGGUUCAGGGACACGCUCUGCAAGCAGUUAGAUUUUGCGCCUGUACAUAAAGGUAGACUAUAUACAAGUAUCAUAAUCAAACUAUCUGUAUAUAUUAUAUCCUAUUUAAAUAUAUUAAAUAUAUUUUAAUAUAUAUAUAUAUAUUCAUAUAUAUAUAUAUAUUUAUAUAUAUUUAAAUAAAUAUAUAUAUUUAUAUAAAAAAUAUUUAAAUUAUCUUCGAGCAAAAUUUAACCGCAUUUUUUCUCAAUACAACAUUAAUUAUCAUACAUCAUUAGAUAAUACACUACAUAUUAUCAUAUAUCUUGGUUGUAGCACCCACUUUUUUUUUUCUCAUAAUGGGUAUAUUAUUAUAAACAUUUGUAGGUCACACUUACUCUCUUAAAAAUUUGCAUAAAAAAAACGUGUACCAAGCGAAUAUCGGGCACCUUAUAUGGACUUACGAUAAAAGAUAUUUUCUCGUUAGGUCUAGUACCAAAAUGCAUGUUCCAAACUAAUUGAUGAUUGUUCUUUCUCAUCACAUCUUGUUUCGUCGCUGUUUUUUCGUUUUUACUAAAGAUUUAAAUUAGUUAGUUAUAUCAUCUUACUUGGAAGGUCAUUUAAAUCAUUCUUUUUUUUAAUCAAUUAUUAUUUACAUUUAAGUCCUUGAACAUAUCAAUUUCGAUAUAGAAUACUAAUUUAUUCUAAGAAUCUGAUCUCUCUCGGACUUUCAUCUUGAAUCACAGUCAGUUCUUUGGAAAAUGUUCAAAAACAAAAAGAAGAAAAAAAAAAAAAAGAAAAAAAAAUUACGGGUAUAUUCGUAAAAGGUAAAUGUUUUUUCCCGUGGUAAUAAAGUAUCCCCUUUGUUGAACGAAAAAGAAAAAAAAAAAUAAA
Molecule: long non-coding RNA, 1410 nt
Organism: Apis cerana (Asiatic honeybee)
Lineage: Eukaryota; Metazoa; Arthropoda; Insecta; Hymenoptera; Apidae
Source: RefSeq, a predicted model, not a curated record